This 348-nucleotide transfer-messenger RNA is filed under the name Acutalibacteraceae. RNAcentral's name for it is "RUG592 sp902773245 Standard tmRNA". It matches the Rfam family "transfer-messenger RNA". Rfam says of the family: Bacterial tmRNA, also known as 10Sa RNA or SsrA, is named for its dual tRNA and mRNA-like properties. Lineage: Bacteria; Bacillati; Bacillota; Clostridia; Eubacteriales. RNAcentral also lists the same sequence under 1 other name. The record is from RNAcentral.
GGGGGUGUAAAGGUUUCGACGGGGAUUUUGAGCCGGAGCCAAGCGAGCAGCGGCGCGGAACCGCUUUAAAAGCCGCAAUUUUAAAAUUAAACGACAACAAUACAGUUGCCUUGGCAGCCUGAGUGCUGCCCGUCCUGUUCGAGAGUACCACGGCUCGGAUAAGGGCGUCGAUUAGUGGUGAACGUGUUCGAGUGGGUGUCUUGACCUCGUCCAUGUAUCAAAGACUACUGAAAAAACGAGCCUGCCGUUAGGCGUGUUUUGGAGGGAAUGUUAAAUUAUCGGCUACGCUCGUAGAAAGCAUCGGUAAGAGGUUUUCGGACAGGGGUUCGAUUCCCCUCACCUCCACCA